This 410-nucleotide ribosomal RNA is filed under the name Anolis tropidonotus. RNAcentral's name for it is "partial 16S ribosomal RNA". It matches the Rfam family "Bacterial large subunit ribosomal RNA", at positions 1981 to 2587 of the family's 2925-position model. Lineage: Eukaryota; Metazoa; Chordata; Lepidosauria; Squamata; Anolidae. The record is from RNAcentral.
UUAAGACCCGUAUGAAUGGUUAAAUGAAUAUUUAACUGUCUCCUUUAACUAAUCAGUGAAACUGAUCUUUCAGUACAAAAGCUGAAAUAAUAACAUAAGACGAGAAGACCCCGUGGAGCUUAAAACUUUUAACAAAAUAUUAUAAAGCACAUAUUUAUGCCAUAAAGUUUUUAGUUGGGGCGACUUUGGAGCAAAACCCAACCUCCAAGAAAAGGCACCGCCUACACCAAGGCCCACAAGCCAAACUACAAAGACCCAGUAUCAAAUACUGAUCAACGAACCAAGUUACCCCAGGGAUAACAGCGCCAUCUUCUUCAAGAGUUCAUAUCGACAAGAAGGUUUACGACCUCGAUGUUGGAUCAGGACACCCAAAUGGUGCAGCCGCUAUUAAAGGUUCGUUUGUUCAACGA